This 1124-nucleotide ribosomal RNA is filed under the name Neoscytalidium dimidiatum. Its description in RNAcentral is "partial large subunit ribosomal RNA". It matches the Rfam family "Eukaryotic large subunit ribosomal RNA", at positions 80 to 1050 of the family's 3401-position model. Lineage: Eukaryota; Fungi; Ascomycota; Dothideomycetes; Botryosphaeriales; Botryosphaeriaceae. The record is from RNAcentral.
UUAGUAACGGCGAGUGAAGCGGCAACAGCUCAAAUUUGAAAGCUGGCCCCCCCGGGGGUCCGCGUUGUAAUUUGUAGAGGAUGAUUCGGCGAGGGCUCCCGCCUAAGUCCCCUGGAACGGGGCGUCAUAGAGGGUGAGAAUCCCGUAUGCGGUGGGCUGCCUUAGCCAUGUGAAUCUCCUUCGACGAGUCGAGUUGUUUGGGAAUGCAGCUCUAAAUGGGAGGUAAAUUUCUUCUAAAGCUAAAUACCGGCCAGAGACCGAUAGCGCACAAGUAGAGUGAUCGAAAGAUGAAAAGCACUUUGGAAAGAGAGUUAAAAAGUACGUGAAAUUGUUGAAAGGGAAGCGCUUGCAGCCAGACUUGUCCGCAGUUGCUCAGCCGGUCUCCUGACCGGCGCACUCUUCUGCGGCCAGGCCAGCAUCAGUUCGGGCGGUCGGAUAAAGGCCCCGGGAACGUAGCUCCUCUCGGGGAGUGUUAUAGCCCGGGGUGGAAUGCGGCCAGCCUGGACUGAGGAUCUCGCUUCGGCUAGGAUGCUGGCGUAAUGGCUGUAAGCGGCCCGUCUUGAAACACGGACCAAGGAGUCUAACAUCUAUGCGAGUGUUUGGGUGUCAAACCCAUGCGCGUAAUGAAAGUGAACGGAGGUGGGAACCCUCGCGGGUGCACCAUCGACCGAUCCUGAUGUCUUCGGAUGGAUUUGAGUAAGAGCAUAGCUGUUGGGACCCGAAAGAUGGUGAACUAUGCCUGAAUAGGGUGAAGCCAGAGGAAACUCUGGUGGAGGCUCGCAGCGGUUCUGACGUGCAAAUCGAUCGUCAAAUUUGGGUAUAGGGGCGAAAGACUAAUCGAACCAUCGACUACUAGGUGGUUAAGAGGUGGCUGAAAGUGCCCACCUAGUCCCCCCGUCCUCGGACGGGGGGGCGACAUCGCCAAAUUGCGGGGACUCCCUUAGAGCCUCUACUACCGCGGCCGGCCGAAAGGCGCGGUGCAGCACCGGGUUAAUCGCCUAGGGUACGGUAAAAAGGUAGAGGAUUGGGAAAUCCGCAGCCAAGCGCCUAAGUCCCGCGGGAUACGGCGAAGGUUCAGAGACUAGAUGGCGGUGGGUCCGGCCCGAGGGCCGGGCCUAAGGUAU